This is a non-coding RNA of Pelobates cultripes (western spadefoot toad), 160 nucleotides long. Lineage: Eukaryota; Metazoa; Chordata; Amphibia; Anura; Pelobatidae. The record is from the annotation of a GenBank genome assembly.
GUGACAGAGUGAGAGAGAGGGUGACUAGUGACAGAGUGAGGGAGGGGGUGACUAGUGACAGAGUGAAGGAGGUGGUGACUGUCACUAGUCUCCCUCACUCUGUCACUAGUCACCCCUCCCUCUCUCUGUCACUAGUCACACCCUCCCUCACUCUGUCACU